UACGAAGGGGGCUAGCGUUGCUCGGAAUUACUGGGCGUAAAGCGUGCGCAGGCGGUUCGUUGUGUCGGCGGUGAAAGCCCCGGGCUUAACCUGGGAACGGCCGUUGAAACUGGCGAACUGGAGUGUGGCAGAGGGGGGUGGAAUUCCGCGUGUAGCAGUGAAAUGCGUAGAGAUGCGGAGGAACACCGAUGGCGAAGGCAGCCCCCUGGGCUAACACUGACGCUCAGGCACGAAAGCGUGGGGAGCAAACAGG
RNAcentral lists this ribosomal RNA (253 nucleotides) under uncultured bacterium. Its description in RNAcentral is "partial 16S ribosomal RNA". It matches the Rfam family "Bacterial small subunit ribosomal RNA", at positions 524 to 776 of the family's 1533-position model. The record is from RNAcentral.